CACACACACACACCUUCAGUGUCUGCACAUAUCAGAAUCUCCUCCGCCUACUUACGUUCUUUUGCUCUCUUUAUUCUUCAUGCGUUCUCACCUUCGUGUGGCUGAGAAUCAUAGCGUUUCAGCUCUCAUACCUGCUGUGUCAUACGCUUAUUUUUACAGGCUGCGGUUAUUACUGGGUGUUUGUUUAAAAAUGCGCUUAUGGAGUUAGAACCUCAGUGACACAACCCUCCGGGUUCCGGCCCGUUUUCAGCCUGCUUACGAUCCAAAGCCUGCUCUUAUCGGUGAUACCAACAGAAACGGGUCUCACUUCUGCAUUUACAACACAUUUUAAAAAACAACCUGGCCUGCUUGUCGGGUCCAUUUAAAAAUCGAGUUUGGGACAAGCAUCUGGCAGGUCAGAGUGAAAUAGAACUAGCAGUUCCUUUUUGUGUACAACCCGUCUGUACAACCAUGUUUUCCUAUUUGUGAACGCAAGAUGGAUAGAUGGAUAUUUUGCUGCCAGUGUUGAACCACACACAUCUUUUAGAAUGCAGACAAAGAAAAGAAAAAAAAAAAAAACUUUGUACGAUCGAGAUUGCGGCUUGAUUAUCGGUUGACUUGUGAAAGUAAUUAUUGCUACUAAAAAUCAUGUAGAAAUGUAAGGAAGAGCAAUGCAAGCAGUCUUCCCGCCAAAUCAUUCAAAUGAACAACUGCUGCGGUUUGGCCUUUGACCUUCCGGAACCGUCUCCCGUUGCCCGGGAGAUGAGAACCGUUCUGGAACCAUCUCCCGUUGCCCGGGAGAUGAGAACCGUUCUGGAACAUUCUGCCGCUCCCCAAGUUUUUUGUCUCUCUGUGGUUCUGCUGUGUAGAUGCAUUUGUGUGUGCGUGUGUACAUACAGUAUGUGCCUGCAUAUACGUGUGCGUGUGUGUGUGUGUACAUACAGUACAUGCCUGCAUAUACGUGUGCGUGUGUGUGUGUGUGUACAUACAGUACGUGCCUGCAUAUACGUGUGCGUGUGUGUGUGUGUGUACAUACAGUACGUGCCUGCAUAUACGUGUGCGUGUGUGUGUGUGUGUACAUACAGUACGUGCCUGCAUAUACGUGUGCGUGUGUGUGUGUGUACAUACAGUACGUGCCUGCAUAUACGUGCGAUCGUGUGUGUGUGUGUACAUACAGUACGUGCCUGCAUAUACGUGUGUCCAAACACAAACACGCGAAUCACGCUCAUACGUCAUGUUUUUGGUUUGUUCUCCGUCAGCUGGUUAAACCGUGUGAAUGUAAAGUUUUUUUUUUUUUUUAAGUGUUAAAAGCAAAUUUUAAACUGCAGAAAUAGAAUGAUGGAGAACCACGGCUGCGUGCAGACCUGGGGGGGGCGGCGGCGGGGGGGCCGGGGGGGGAGGGGAGAAAUAUUACGGGAUGCAUUUCCCAUUCGCACGCAAAGCAUGCUCUUCCGCGAUUGGCUGAGCCUUUUUUCUCUGGGUUUUCUGCCCCAAUCAGAGGAGAGCAUUUUGAGCGUGCGCUAGUCGUCAGGCUGCUUCGGUCUCAGGUUUAGUUUCCUUUUCUUAGUAAGAGAUGCAUGAUGAAAAUAUUUAAGACUUUGGUGAAGGGAGGAACAUAUAUAUAUAUAUAUAAAUGUAUAAUAUAUAUUUUCCAUAGUUUGGUUGUGGGAAAGACUGCAUUCCUAUGUUGACAAUGGGGGCUUUUGCGGGGUUUUUUUUGUUUCUUUUGUUUUGUUUUUUUUCUCGCUGCUUUUUUUUGUUGUGGAUUUAUUUCUUAACAGUUUUAAGUGGAGGUGGUUUGUACUAAAGCAAAAAAAAAAAAAAUCAAAAAACAAACUGUUAAAAGCUCAUCUCCUUUAUUAUUAUUUUUUAAAGAGUCAUUAUUGUCAAUAAACGUCACGUUACAUAAAGACAAA
Molecule: long non-coding RNA, 1895 nt
Organism: Anguilla rostrata (American eel)
Lineage: Eukaryota; Metazoa; Chordata; Actinopteri; Anguilliformes; Anguillidae
Exons: 2
Source: RefSeq, a predicted model, not a curated record